AACGUACGCUGGCGGCACGCCUAACACAUGCAAGUCGAACGAAGUAGCAAUACUUAGUGGCAGACGGGUGAGUAACAUGUAGGUAUCUGCCCUUUGGCCUGGAAUAACACGAGGAAACUUGUGCUAAUACUGGAUAAGUCUUUACGGAGAAAGCUUUAUGCACCAUUGGAUGAGCCCGCACUUGAUUAGUUUGUUGGUAGGGUAAUGGCCUACCAAGACUGUGAUCAAUAGCUGAUUUGAGAGGAUGAUCAACCACAUUGGGACUGAGACACGGCCCAAACUCCUACGGGAGGCAGCAGUGGGGAAUCUUGCACAAUGGAGGAAACUCUGAUGCAGCGAUGCCGCGUGAGUGAAGAAGGCCUUUGGGUUGUAAAGCUCUUUCGUCGGGGAAGAAAAUGACUGUACCCGAAUAAGAAGGUCCGGCUAACUUCGUG
Molecule: ribosomal RNA, 434 nt
Filed under: uncultured bacterium
Lineage: Bacteria
Description: bacterial SSU rRNA
Rfam family: Bacterial small subunit ribosomal RNA
Source: RNAcentral